This 1198-nucleotide ribosomal RNA is filed under the name Darthula hardwickii. RNAcentral describes it as "16S ribosomal RNA". Lineage: Eukaryota; Metazoa; Arthropoda; Insecta; Hemiptera; Aetalionidae. The record is from RNAcentral.
AUUAUUAUUAAAUAAUAAACAAAUGAAAAUUGAAUUUAAUGGUCCUUUCGUACUAAUUAAAAUUAUAUAUUAUUAGAUAGAAACCAACCUGGCUCACACCGGUUUGAACUCAAAUCAUGUAAGAAUUUAAUAGUCGAACAGACUAAUUUAUAUAAAAUCUACUAUAUAUUAUUAUCUUAAUUCAACAUCGAGGUCGCAAACUUCAGUUUAAAUAUGAACUUACUACUAAAAUUACGCUGUUAUCCCUAAGGUAAUUUUUUCUUAGAAACAAAUUAAAUAUGAUUCAUAAUAAUCAUAAAUAAAUGAAUAAAAACCCUAAAGUUAAAUUUAAGAAUCACCCCAAUUAAAAAUUAUAAAAUAAUAAAUAAAAAUACACAAAAUUAUAAACAUAUUAAAUAAAAAAUUAAAUUCUAUAGGGUCUUCUCGUCCCAAUAAAAAAAUUAAGCUUUCUCACUCAAAAAUAAAAUUCUAUUAUUAAAACCAAUAAAAUAAAUUUUUCAUUAAUUCAUUCAUUCUAGUCCUCAAUUAAAAAACUAAUUAUUAUGCUACCUUUGUACAGUCAAUAUACUGCAGCUAUUUAAAAUUAAUCAUUGAGCAGAACCUAUCUUUAAUAAACCAUCCUAAAAAAAAUGUUUUUGAUAAACAGUUGAAAAUUAAAUUUGUCGAGUUCAUAAAAAAUAAAUUAAAAAAAUACUAAUUAUAUCAAUAUUAAAAUUAAAAAAUCAUUAAAUAAAAAAAAUUAAUAUUAAUAUAAAUAAAAAAAAAUCAUAUUAUAUAUAUUUCAAUAUAUUAAAAACUAAAAUAAUAAUCUAAUCCAUAAUAAAAAUACUUAAUAAAUAAAAUUUUAAAAUAAAAUAAAGAUUAUCCUUUAUUCAUUAAUUAAGAAGAACUUAAUAAAAUUAAAUUUAAUAUUAAUCAACCAGAUAUAAAGUAGAACAAUUAACCUAUAAUUAUCAUUUUAAUAUUAUUAAUCUCUCUAAAACAAGAACUACAUAAUAAAAUAAAUAUCAACUAUUCGGGAAAUAAAUAUACAUAUAUAUUUAAAUAAACCCUGAUACAAAAGGUACUAAUAAUUAUAAAAAAAUAAUUAAUAAUAAAACUUAACAGAUAACUUAAAUACAAAUAAUUUCCAAUAAAUACUAAUAAAAUUUAAACUAAGAUAAAAAAAAAAAAAAAAAAAAAGAAAAGACCUCUAAUA